This 1265-nucleotide ribosomal RNA is filed under the name Neisseria flavescens. RNAcentral describes it as "bacterial SSU rRNA". It matches the Rfam family "Bacterial small subunit ribosomal RNA", at positions 98 to 1342 of the family's 1533-position model. The record is from RNAcentral. Lineage: Bacteria; Pseudomonadati; Pseudomonadota; Betaproteobacteria; Neisseriales; Neisseriaceae.
GCGGACGGGUGAGUAACAUUUAGGAAUCUGCCUAGUAGUGGGGGAUAGCUCGGGGAAACUCGAAUUAAUACCGCAUACGACCUACGGGUGAAAGGGGGCGCAAGCUCUUGCUAUUAGAUGAGCCUAAAUCAGAUUAGCUAGUUGGUGGGGUAAAGGCCCACCAAGGCGACGAUCUGUAACUGGUCUGAGAAGGAUGAUCAGUCACACCGGAACUGAGACACGGUCCGGACUCCUACGGGAGGCAGCAGUGGGGAAUAUUGGACCAAUGGGGGGCAACCCCUGAUCCAGCCCAUGCCGGCGUGUGUGAAGGAAGGCCUUUUUGGUUGUAAAGCACUUUAAGCAGGGAGGAGAGGGCUAAUGGUUAAUACCCCAUUAGAUUAGACGUUACCUGCAGAAUAAGCACCGGCUAACUCUGUGCCAGCAGCCGCGGUAAUACAGAGGGUGCGAGCGUUAAUCGGAAUUACUGGGCGUAAAGCGAGUGUAGGUGGCUCAUUAAGUCACAUGUGAAAUCCCCGGGCUUAACCUGGGAACUGCAUGUGAUACUGGUGGUGCUAGAAUAUGUGAGAGGGAAGUAGAAUUCCAGGUGUAGCGGUGAAAUGCGUAGAGAUCUGGAGGAAUACCGAUGGCGAAGGCAGCUUCCUGGCAUAAUAUUGACACUGAGAUUCGAAAGCGUGGGUAGCAAACAGGAUUAGAUACCCUGGUAGUCCACGCCGUAAACGAUGUCUACUAGCCGUUGGGGUCCUUGAGACUUUAGUGGCGCAGUUAACGCGAUAAGUAGACCGCCUGGGGGAGUACGGCCGCAAGGUUAAAACUCAAAUGAAUUGACGGGGGGCCCGCACAAGCGGUGGAAGCAUGUGGGUUUAAUUCGAUGCAACCGCGAAGAAACCUUACCUGGGUCUUGACAUAGUGGAGAAUCUUUUCAGAAGAUGAGAGAGUGCCCUUCGGGGAAUUCACAUACAGGUGCUGCAUGGCUGUCGUCAGCUCGUGUCGUGAGAUGUUGGGUUAAGUCCCGCAACGAGCGCAACCCUUUUCCUUAUUUGCCAGCGGGUUAAGCCGGGAACUUUAAGGAUACUGCCAGUGACAAACUGGAGGAAGGCGGGGACGACGUCAAGUCAUCAUGGCCCUUACGACCAGGGCUACACACGUGCUACAAUGGUAGGUACAGAGGGUUGCUACACAGCGAUGUGAUGCUAAUCUCAAAAAGCCUAUCGUAGUCCGGAUUGGAGUCUGCAACUCGACUCCAUGAAGUCGGAAUCGCUAGUAAU